AGCAGCCGCGGUAAUUCCAGCUCCAAUAGCGUAUAUUAAAGUUGUUGCAGUUAAAAAGCUCGUAGUUGAAUUUCGGGAUCAAUUUAUUGGUCGUGCUAUUGUACGUACUGGUAUUAUUGAUCUCUACCUUCUGACGAACCAUGAUGUCAUUAAUUUGGUGUCUUGGGGAAUCAGGACUGUUACUUUGAAAAAUUAGAGUGUUUAAAGCAGGCUCACGCUUGAAUACAUUAGCAUGGAAUAACGAAAUAGGACGUUUGAUUCUAUUUUGUUGGUUUCUAGGAUCGACGUAAUGAUUAAUAGGGAUAGUUGGGGGCAUUAGUAUUCAAUUGUCGGAGGUGAAAUUCUUGGAUUUAUUGAAGACUAACUACUGCGAAAGCAUUUGCCAAGGAUGUUUUCAUUAAUCAAGAACGAAAGUUAGGGGAUCGAAGACGAUCAGAUACCGUCGUAGUCCUAACCAUAAACUAUGCCGACUAGGGAUCGGAUGAUGUUAAUUUUUAAUGACUCAUU
This 507-nucleotide unclassified non-coding RNA is filed under the name uncultured Glomus. RNAcentral describes it as "SSU rRNA". It matches the Rfam family "Eukaryotic small subunit ribosomal RNA", at positions 569 to 1080 of the family's 1831-position model. The record is from RNAcentral. Lineage: Eukaryota; Fungi; Glomeromycota; Glomeromycetes; Glomerales; Glomeraceae.